AUAUUUCGAAGGAGGGAAAAAUCGAACUUGGAGUAAAAAUAUUUACGCAAUUUUAGUAGAAAGUAUGAAACAUCAUUCAAUAUGGGCAGGAGAAUAUGUAGCAUUCCUUUUCGCAAUCAUAUUUGGAAACGAGUAACAGAAUAGUUUGUCUAAUUAUCUUGAAAACUCACAAUACACAUAUAUGACUACCAUUUGAAGACUAUGUUACAAAAAAGUAAAUUGCAUGUAACUACAUACAUUAAUUGUCAUAACAUAACUCGCUAGAGCCUAUAAUUUAUUUUGCAGGAAUAAAUACAUAGUAUAAUAAAAUUAAUACAUAAUAUAAUAAAAUUAGAAAAGAUUUUUUACUCUUUCACAACUAAUAAAGUAAGAUAAAAGAUUCAAGUAAAUUGAUUGUUUUAUUAGACGUAAAUAAAUUAUAAGCUCAGAGAGUAAAUACAAAUAUUACACAAUAAAUGAGCUCUUUCCGGUUAACAUAAGGAAUGUUUCAGGUACAUGCUAGAACUAUUAGUAAAUGUUUUAUCACAUACAUAUGAAUAAAAUUAACAUAGGAAACACAUAUUUGGAAAACACGUAAACACAUGUAGAUAAAUAAUAUUUAUAAAUAAGGCUAUACCAUUUACUUUUCCAUUAUAUGAUAGGAAACACAAGGUUGUUAAACAAUUAAAACUAACUAAACCAUAUUUAAAAUUAUCGUAAAUUUCUUUCAUGUAACUUAAACUAACAAUAAUUAAUUACUCAAUGCAUAUUGUCUUACGUUAUCUCUUACAAUUCUAUACAUAUUUAUAUAUUUCAAUAAAUUACACAUGUAGUUUGACAUUGUUUAGCAAACAUAUCUAGCAAAUAUUUCUGUAGAAUAGAAAUAUUCUCUAUAUGAUAUAACUAUGACAAAAAAUUUAUCCAGUUAUUUAAUCAGAAUCAGUUUCCUCUUUUCUGUCUUUGUCUAUAAUGUACUAAUAGAUACCAAAAAGAUAUCGUGAAAAAAGUGGAAUUAUACAUGUAUCAAAUAAAUUAUAUGAAAGAGAUUCUCUGUUUAAAGUGAUAUAAAUUUUGGGGGUGAGAAGAGAGAGAGUAAUUCUUUCUCUUUUUUUUCUCUCUCUCUCUCUCUAAUUAUACAUAAACACGAUAUUUAAAAUGAUAUUUAUCUCAAAAAGCUUCUUAAGCAUUUUUGUACUCUAACAUUCUAGUACAGAAAAUAUUCAAUUUGCCUUUUUUUGUAUUUGUAUUAAUCUUUUGCAGAUUGGAAUGCCAAUGUAAUUUUGUUAACACUACUUCUUUCUAUUCACUGAUUGAUCAUUGAUUCCAGAUCUAUUUUACUAUCAUUUUACUAGAUUGAAGAUAGACUGUAUAUAUGUUUUAUCAUUCUGUACAUAAUAUAUGCAUACAUUAAACAAAUAUGAAAAUAUAAAGUACAAAAUAGUAAUAAUAAUUGCUUUUAUAUAACUAAUUUUUCAUUCAGGUAUAUGAGAAGGUAACUUUUUAUUGUUUAUCACAAUAUUGAAGCGUGUACUUUGUAUGAUUUUUUAAUGCGCGAUAUCCUUGAAUAGCGGAUAAA
Molecule: long non-coding RNA, 1555 nt
Filed under: Ooceraea biroi (clonal raider ant)
Lineage: Eukaryota; Metazoa; Arthropoda; Insecta; Hymenoptera; Formicidae
Description: uncharacterized LOC113562706
Source: RNAcentral